GAUGAACGCUGGCGGCGUGCCUAACACAUGCAAGUCGAACGGAGUCCAGCCUUUAAGACCUUCGGGUCAAAGAGGGGAAGACUGAGUGGCGGACGGGUGAGUAACACGUGGGCAACCUGGCUCAUAGAGGGGGAUAACAGAGAGAAAUUUCUGCUAAUACCGCAUAAGCACACACUGCCGCAUGGCAGAGGGUGAAAAGAGAAUCGCUAUGAGAUGGACCCGCGUCUGAUUAGCCAGUUGGCAGGGUAAGAGCCUACCAAAGCGACGAUCAGUAGCCGAUCUGAGAGGAUGAACGGCCACAUUGGGACUGAGACACGGCCCAAACUCCUACGGGAGGCAGCAGUGGGGGAUAUUGCACAAUGGGGGGAACCCUGAUGCAGCGACGCCGCGUGAGUGAAGAAGUAUGUCGGUAUGUAAAGCGCUAUCAGCAGGGAAGAUAAUGACAGUACCUGAAUAAGAAGCCCCGGCUAACUACGUG
Molecule: ribosomal RNA, 478 nt
Filed under: uncultured bacterium
Lineage: Bacteria
Description: partial 16S ribosomal RNA
Rfam family: Bacterial small subunit ribosomal RNA
Source: RNAcentral